CAGCCGCCGCGGGAAUACGUAGGGUGCGAGCGUUAAUCGGAAUUACUGGGCGUAAAGCGUGCGCAGGCGGUUUGUUAAGACAGAUGUGAAAUCCCCGGGCUUAACCUGGGAACUGCAUUUGUGACUGGCCGGCUAGAGUAUGGCAGAGGGAGGUGGAAUUCCACGUGUAGCAGUGAAAUGCGUAGAUAUGUGGAGGAACACCGAUGGCGAAGGCAGCCUCCUGGGCCAAUACUGACGCUCAUGCACGAAAGCGUGGGGAGCAAACAGGAUUAGAUACCCCCGUAGUCCCUGUCUCUUAUAC
This 301-nucleotide ribosomal RNA is filed under the name uncultured bacterium. RNAcentral's name for it is "partial 16S ribosomal RNA". It matches the Rfam family "Bacterial small subunit ribosomal RNA", at positions 509 to 807 of the family's 1533-position model. The record is from RNAcentral.